ACCCCUCCCCCAUUAAAAUCUUCCCCAAACAAGAGUCCUUUCUCCUCUGAAGAGGGACCCUCUGUCCAACGCCAAGUGACUCUCAUGGAGGCCAUAGGCGGUGGGACACUUGCCUUCACAAAAGGAGCUGGAGUGUCAAAUAAACUCAGUCAGAGCCCCCGACACACAAUCAUUCCUUUAUCAGGGCACCGCGAGAGGGACACAGAGACAGACUUUGUGUCAACGAGCGGACCUUGACAAAACACUGGGUGUUUUUAAUGUCGUUUUUAUUCCGCUCCCUUCUUCGAUUGAGCCUCGUCUUCUUCCGGGAGGGAUGUGUGUCGGGGUUCUGUUUACGGGACCCGUCUCACACCCGGCAUCUGUCCUGCACACGGCUAGGCUGACCUGGACCUGUGUGGUGCAGGCCUGGAGAGGUACACUGUCUGCACAGCACAACAGAGCACAACACAACACACUCCCCAGCCAGGCCUGGAGAGGUACACUGUCUGCACAGCACAACAGAGCACAACACAACACACUCCCCAGCCAGGCCUGGAGAGGUACACUGUCUGCACAGCACAACAGAGCACAACACAACACACUCCCCAGCCAGGCCUGGAGAGGUACACUGUCUGCACAGCACAACAGAGCACCACACA
Molecule: long non-coding RNA, 638 nt
Organism: Oncorhynchus tshawytscha (Chinook salmon)
Lineage: Eukaryota; Metazoa; Chordata; Actinopteri; Salmoniformes; Salmonidae
Source: Ensembl